This 79-nucleotide microRNA precursor is filed under the name Cricetulus griseus (Chinese hamster). Lineage: Eukaryota; Metazoa; Chordata; Mammalia; Rodentia; Cricetidae. The record is from RNAcentral.
ACAUUGAAGCUGGCUGGGGAAAAUGAUUGGAUAGAAAGCACUGUUCUAUUCAUUUACUCCCCAGCCUACAAACAAAAAU